AGCGAACGCUGGCGGCAGGCUUAACACAUGCAAGUCGAACGCCCCGCAAGGGGAGUGGCAGACGGGUGAGUAACACGUGGGAACGUACCCUUUGGUUCGGAAUAACUUGGGGAAACUCAAGCUAAUACCGGAUAAGCCCUUAUGGGGAAAGGUUUACUGCCGAAGGAUCGGCCCGCGUCUCAUUAGCUAGUUGGUGAGGUAAUGGCUCACCAAGGCCACGAUCAGUAGCUGGUCGGAGAGGAUGAUCAGCCACACUGGGACUGAGACACGGCCCAGACUCCUACGGGAGGCAGCAGUGCGGAAUAUUGGACAAUGGGGGCAACCCUGAUCCAGCCAUGCCGCGUGAGUGAUGAAGGCCUUAGGGUUGUAAAGCUCUUUUACCCGGGACGAUAAUGACUGUACCGGGAGAAUAAGCCCCGGCUAACUUCGUGCCAGCCGCCGCGGUAA
This 447-nucleotide ribosomal RNA is filed under the name uncultured bacterium. Its description in RNAcentral is "partial 16S ribosomal RNA". It matches the Rfam family "Bacterial small subunit ribosomal RNA", at positions 29 to 523 of the family's 1533-position model. The record is from RNAcentral.